UGUUUAUAGUGGAUGAUCGCUUUUAGCCGCCUUCGCUCCCUUGGAGCUACGGCGUGCUGAAAGAGGAAAGUCCGAACACUACGCUACGCGCGAGAGACGCGGAGCAAAUGGCAGUGGGUAACGCCCACCGUCCGCGCAAGCGGAAAGGGAUAGCGGCACAGAGACUAUACUAGCGGGUCCGUAAGGAUGGGUUAUCCGCCCAAGGCGGAUGACUCGGCAGUAGCAAUACUGCCUCGUCAAAGGUGAAAAGUGUAUAGAGGUUUUUGAUCUCGAGUCAAAAGCCACGAUACUCCUCCGGCGGUGACGCUGGAUUGCGCCAAGCCCUGCCUAGUGCAAGAGCAGCGUUUCCCGAUUGUUCGGGAUUCGAAAAGUUCGCUCGCUUCGUCCGCCAUAGCCCGCAAGGGCGACGGCGGGCCAGAUCAUGAUAGUGAUAUCAUGACUAGAUAAAUGAUCGUCUAUAUCCUCCUUCGCUCUUUGGAGCUACGGCGGAUGAAACAAAAUUCGGCUUAUAGCUAUAAACAAAAA
This 525-nucleotide RNase P RNA is filed under the name bacterium. Its description in RNAcentral is "RNase P RNA component class A". It matches the Rfam family "Bacterial RNase P class A". Rfam says of the family: Ribonuclease P (RNase P) is a ubiquitous endoribonuclease, found in archaea, bacteria and eukarya as well as chloroplasts and mitochondria. Its best characterised activity is the generation of mature 5'-ends of tRNAs by cleaving the 5'-leader elements of precursor-tRNAs. Cellular RNase Ps are ribonucleoproteins. The record is from RNAcentral.